Molecule: long non-coding RNA, 861 nt
Filed under: Lupinus angustifolius (narrow-leaved blue lupine)
Lineage: Eukaryota; Viridiplantae; Streptophyta; Magnoliopsida; Fabales; Fabaceae
Description: long non-coding RNA (LANG_LNC003155)
Source: RNAcentral
UUUAAAUUUCAAAGGAAAUUCAGGGUCUAAAUCACAAUUAAAUACACUUACAGGAAUAAACACUAAUUACCUAAAAUUACCCCUAACCCCAACCCUAAAUCUAAGUGAGGCUAUAAAAAGCCCCACUUAGUAAACUACUGACUAGUUGGAUCCUAUCCUUAAACGGUUAAACCUAACUUAGCAGCUUCGCCCAUUUUUAAAAAAACACUCAGCUUCUAUACCAAUUUUUAAAACACACCAUCUACAAUCUUAUCCAAAAACACAUACUUUGGCAGCUUUUGGCAAAGAAAGAAAAGGAUAACUACAAACAGUAGAGAGCUAACAAAUGAGUCAUCUUCCUUAUUUUGGAACCACUUUCACAAGCAAUAUCCUUAGGUCCACUUGUCACUCAAAUUCCUUAUCUUUCAUUUGUCCCUACUGGAACUCAUUGCUACAUACAUAAUACUUCCCAUUUUCAUUUUAUCAUUCAACAUGCUCAUUAACCACAUGACAUGAACCACAAAUUGAGUCAAGGAGAAGAAAUGGGCUUUAAACUCAUCGGUGGUGCCAUCUUGUUAGAACCGUCCUGGAACAUGGCGGAGGUGCUACCGGAGGAAGCCUUUGUGCAGCCGAGCCGUGGUAGAAGUUCCUAGACUCAUGGUCCAGGUGGGGAAGACGACCCCCACCCCUUUUUUAUUUAUUUCUUUUAUUUAAUCCUAUUCUUUUAUUUAUUUAUUAUGUAUAUAGUUUUUGUUUAUUUAUUUUAUUUAUUAAUAAAUUUGUCUUAUUUGAAUAUUAUGGGCAAUCUAUCCUUAUUUGAGUAUGUAGUUAUAAUACUCUACUUAGUAUAUGUGUUUAAUUCAUUUAAGCUGUUGAUUGGUG